This 59-nucleotide microRNA precursor is filed under the name Heligmosomoides polygyrus. RNAcentral describes it as "microRNA hpo-mir-236 precursor". Its record names the gene hpo-mir-236. Lineage: Eukaryota; Metazoa; Nematoda; Chromadorea; Rhabditida; Heligmosomidae. The record is from miRBase by way of RNAcentral.
GUCUUACCUGAACAAUAUUAGAAGCUUCGAUCUGUCUAAUACUGUCAGGUAAUGAUGCU